This 83-nucleotide transfer RNA is filed under the name Candidatus Daviesbacteria bacterium. Its description in RNAcentral is "tRNA-Leu". It matches the Rfam family "tRNA". Rfam says of the family: Transfer RNA (tRNA) molecules are approximately 80 nucleotides in length. Lineage: Bacteria; Candidatus Daviesiibacteriota. The record is from RNAcentral.
GCCGGAGUGGCGGAAUGGCAGACGCUUACGCCUCAAAAGCGUACGAUCGCAAGAUCAUGUGGGUUCAACUCCCUCCUCCGGCA